Molecule: long non-coding RNA, 1210 nt
Organism: Helicoverpa zea (corn earworm)
Lineage: Eukaryota; Metazoa; Arthropoda; Insecta; Lepidoptera; Noctuidae
Exons: 2
Source: RefSeq, a predicted model, not a curated record
GUAAUAGGUAUUCUAUAUUCAACUUGAUAGAAGAAAUGUGUUUGCCAGCGGUUUUUCUUUUUGUCAAGUUGCUAGUUGUUAGCGGGUAUUUUAAUUGUUUAAUGUUUUUGUUGUAACUAUGUCUAAUUAGCAUUUCUGUCUCCUGUAAUAAUGCAUUCUUGUAUAGGAAUGCACAAUUUUGUCAGACUGAUAUUAUCAAUAGAUGUUGUCAUUAUUAUUUUCUCUCUCGUAAAUUUCACAUAGUAUGAUUAAUGGAUUCUGAGUAACGUUCCAAGCUACCUUUUCGGGGAAAACUGUAGUAUAGUUAUCGGCACGGAUAUUGAGACUGACCUUCACCUUCAGAAGUGAUUUUUUGGUUUAUUGCCUUAUGUGUACAGUGCGCGAAGCGAUCCCCACUCUUCCGCCGAGAGCUCAAUAUCCGAGCAAGCCAGAAUUUACACACUGUUUAAUGUUGUUACUGUAGUUGCAAGAAACUAUUUAAUGCCAUAAGUUUUAGUUUGUAAGUUACUGUUUAAGUAGAGAUAUGAACAAACAGUAAGGUCUUCAUUGUAAAGUUCAAUUAUUCAGUAUAUAUGAUAGGUAAUGAUAAAGUUUAAUUAUAUUAAUUUUGUUUCAUGUUUUUCGUAAUAUUUUGAAUGAUAUUUAAACUCGUAACAACAUACAGGGAUGUAUGCACUUUAUUGAAAAUUUUCUUAUGAUCUGUGAUAUAGUCUAGUUCAUAUUGAAUUGUAUUCUUAUGACGUGAGAAAUUAUUAGCUGAAAGCUAUUUUUUAUUCAUUUUUACUUUGAUUAUGUAAUCACAUAGGGUGUUACAGAAAAGUUAAACAGAUGUUUGACACAUGUUUAAGAAAGUUCUGAAUGGAAGUUUUCUGUUUAACUUUUUUGCAACAACACUGAUUAAUGAAAAGGAAGCAAUAAAUAAUGUAAAUCAAUAAAAUUUAUUAUGGAAAAAUAUUAUCUUACUAUCUACAUUAUUUUUGUUUCGUUUUAUUGACAUGCAUAUUGAGUCAGUCUAUGAUUUUGAAAUUCAUUGAUUAUUCUUCAUAUUGUCUACGCAAUCAUGAACAUAAUGUUUGAAGUAACUCAAAAUAGGCAUGUCAUUAAAACAUUACAAAUUCAUAAACAAUAAUGUUUCUCACUGUUAUAAUGUAAUUUAUCAAUCUAAGAAUUAAAAUAAUAAAAUUUAAAAUAAACUUGAUAUAUAAUAAUA